CAAGGAAUAUUGUGCAAUGGGCGAAAGCCUGACAUAGCGACGCCACGUGGGGGAAGAAGGCCCUCGGGUUGUAAACCCCUUUUCUCAGGGAAGAAUAAUGACGGUACCUGAGGAAUAAGUCACGGCUAACUACGUGCCAGCAGCCGCGGUAAUACGUAGGUGGCAAGCGUUAUUCGGAUUUACUGGGUGUAAAGAGGGAGCGGGCGGCCUUUCAAGUCGAAUAUAAAAUCUCCCGGCUCAACUGGGAGGGACUAUUCGAUACUGUUUGGCUAGAGCGCAGCAGAGGGAGGUGGAAUUCCCGGUGUAGUGGUGAAAUGCGUAGAUAUCGGGAGGAACACCAGUGGCGAAGGCGGCCUCCUAGGCUGUUGCUGACGCUGAGGCCCGAAAGCGUGGGGAGCAAACAGGAUUAGAUACCCUGGUAGUCCACGCCAUAAACGAUGGACACUAGGUAUGGGGAGUAUCGACCCUCUCUGUGCCGAAGCUAACGCUUUAAGUGUCCCGCCUGGGGAGUACGGCCGCAAGGCUA
Molecule: ribosomal RNA, 526 nt
Filed under: uncultured bacterium
Lineage: Bacteria
Description: bacterial SSU rRNA
Rfam family: Bacterial small subunit ribosomal RNA
Source: RNAcentral